CUUCGUGGGUGGCAUACCUCCCUUUUACGGGCGGGGUAAUCGCGCAUAGCUGUCAUCCGACAAUGCAGAUUUCCAAAGCUCGCGCUGAUGCGGGCUUUUUUAU
This is a regulatory RNA element of 103 nucleotides. It matches the Rfam family "Tryptophan operon leader". From Rfam's summary of the family: At least 6 amino acid operons are known to be regulated by attenuation. In each a leader sequence of 150-200 bp is found upstream of the first gene in the operon. The record is from Rfam.